This 83-nucleotide transfer RNA is filed under the name Candidatus Pacearchaeota archaeon. Its description in RNAcentral is "tRNA-Ser". It matches the Rfam family "tRNA". From Rfam's summary of the family: Transfer RNA (tRNA) molecules are approximately 80 nucleotides in length. The record is from RNAcentral. Lineage: Archaea; Nanobdellati.
GCCCUGAUGGCACAGUGGAACUGCGCAAGCUUGGAGAGCUUGUUUCCCUUUGGGAUACCUAGNUUCGAUUCCUGGUCAGGGCG